This 253-nucleotide ribosomal RNA is filed under the name uncultured bacterium. RNAcentral describes it as "partial 16S ribosomal RNA". It matches the Rfam family "Bacterial small subunit ribosomal RNA", at positions 524 to 776 of the family's 1533-position model. The record is from RNAcentral.
UACAGAGGGUGCAAGCGUUGUUCGGAAUUAUUGGGCGUAAAGGGAGUGUAGGCGGUGAGUUAAGUCUUCUGUGAAAGCUGCGAGCUUAGCCUGCAAAGUGCAGAGGAAACUGGCUGACUUGAGUGUCGGAGAGGAUAGGGGAAUACCCAGUGUAGAGGUGAAAUUCGUAGAGAUUGGGUGGAACACCAGUGGCGAAGGCGCCUGUCUGGCUGACAACUGACGCUGAGACUCGAAAGCAUGGGGAGCAAACAGG